This is a long non-coding RNA of Solanum stenotomum, 541 nucleotides long. RefSeq lists it as uncharacterized. NCBI's taxonomy places the organism in Eukaryota, Viridiplantae, Streptophyta, Magnoliopsida, Solanales, Solanaceae. The record is from RefSeq and is a predicted model, not a curated record. The transcript has 4 exons.
ACCCCCACCCAUCCGUGAGAAAACAUCGAGCUUCAGAGAGAUGAUGAACAAUCUUCUCGAUUUUUCCGCUCACAAACUUGCACCACGCACGCCACCUUUUCCACCACUUCGAAGAGAUGCGGCAGUUUCUCAACACAUUGUCCUUCUCUUACGCUAGAAAGUGAGAUACCUAAGGGAGAUAACUCAUAGAACUGAUUUGUUGGAGAAAAAUCAGCAAGACAGACCACAAAAAUUCUGGUACCUUUAACUCCAGAAAGUGAGAUACCUAAGGGAGAUAACUCAGAGAGCUGAUUUGUUGGAGAAAAAUCAGCAAAACCGACCACGAAUAUUCUGGUACCUUUAACUCCAGAAAGUGAGAUACCUAAGGGAGAUAACUCAGAGAGCUGAUUUGUUGGAGAAAAAUCAGCAAAACCGACCACGAAUAUUCUGGUACCUUUAACUCCAGACUUCAAUUCUAAAUCUAUCAGUGGUGCUUCUUGCUGUUGAAAGUGACUGCAAAACUACUCUUUUGAAGGCUCUGUGUUGAUUUGUUUUGUAAGGU